RNAcentral lists this ribosomal RNA (301 nucleotides) under uncultured bacterium. RNAcentral's name for it is "partial 16S ribosomal RNA". It matches the Rfam family "Bacterial small subunit ribosomal RNA", at positions 509 to 808 of the family's 1533-position model. The record is from RNAcentral.
CAGCAGCCGCGGUAAUACGUAGGUCCCGAGCGUUGUCCGGAUUUAUUGGGCGUAAAGCGAGCGCAGGCGGUUAGAUAAGUCUGAAGUUAAAGGCUGUGGCUUAACCAUAGUACGCUUUGGAAACUGUUUAACUUGAGUGCAAGAGGGGAGAGUGGAAUUCCAUGUGUAGCGGUGAAAUGCGUAGAUAUAUGGAGGAACACCGGUGGCGAAAGCGGCUCUCUGGCUUGUAACCGACGCUGAGGCUCGAAAGCGUGGGGAGCAAACAGGAUUAGAUACCCCUGUAGUCCCUGUCUCUUAUACA